RNAcentral lists this long non-coding RNA (24306 nucleotides) under Coffea arabica (coffee). RNAcentral's name for it is "long non-coding RNA (CARA_LNC003664)". Lineage: Eukaryota; Viridiplantae; Streptophyta; Magnoliopsida; Gentianales; Rubiaceae. The record is from RNAcentral.
CUUGGAUAUGAAAGUCUAUACCGUCUAAGACAGCAUCGCCUAAUGGACGAUUUUCUGAUUCACCGCCAAGGAAAUUAUUAUAGAGAUAGGACGCGACUUCCUUAGCAUCAUCGCGUGAAGAAAGGUUUGGAGCUCCGCCGAGAGAAAGAAGCACUUGGAUGCCUCGUUUCUGGCAAGCUUUUAUCUCAGAACUAAGCGAGGAGCAAGCGCUUCGCUCACAAUGCCCAGCUAAGUUCAAUUCUGGUGUCUGGCCAUUGCCAUAAUUUAUCAGAAAGGCAAGAUUCACGUAGUCAUAGGUACCCCUCCGGCAUGCGUCUUCCAGGCUUCCUUCGUCAGUGUUUUGGCCCCAGUAGGUGGCAAUUCCAGCAGCAUCGGAAGACCUGAUCGCUGAAGAUAUCAUCAACAGCAAUGUUAUUGCUAUGACUAGUGCUCUAAAACAGGGAGCCAUUUUUUCUUCUCUCGGUUGUUUUUGCAGGCUUGCUUUCGUGUGUAUUUUUUGGUUUGGUGUGUAUUUGGUUGCCCACAGAUCGACCCCUUUUAUAGAUGAGUUCAGCUACCUGUGUGGCGAAUUGAAGACGUGCCAAAUACUGGCCAUCCCCCUGGAGGUACGUGUAAUAUGUGCGUUAUCAAUGAUAGUUGAUAGUUUACCCAAAGAAAAGUAUUAUUCGUUGCUCAAGUGUCCCGUCGAUACAUCAUUGACAGCAUCAGUAAAUUUCUUCACUCAUCAUUUCAACUAUAGCACAAAUAUCUUUCUUUUUCUUGGUUCUUGGAGAACUUACAAGUGCCAUAAUCUUAUAAAUGGGUAUUGAAAAUGUUUAAAUAAAAACUAAUAGUAUAAAACUCAGUUUUGACUGUUCGAGCGAGCUGAUUGAACUGUUGAUCGAGUAGCUUUCUGAACUAAACCAAGUGUCAAACUAAGAUGGAUCAAAAAAUCGGUCUAGAUAGUAAAAACCAACUAGAUCGUUUGGUCGGACCAACGAACCGUCGACAUGUUUUUACUAAACGGUUUUGAGUCUUGCUUUUCUUUAAAAAAAAAAAAAUGCGGCCCCACAUUAGCAUAUAAUAAUUAUCGGAAACGAUUAACGCACUAUACUUUUUGACAUUUUACUAUUUAGCCCUCAUACUUACUUUUAGAUUUCAAUGUUACCUCAUAUUUAAGUUUCUAUCAUUUCACCUUUAAAAAAUUAUAAUUUAGCUCUAAAUUGUUUACAAAAUCCAAAAUUUCUUACUAUUCGUAUUCCUAUCCACUUAACAAUUGUUAGAAUUAAACAAUGGUUACAUCCCAUUUGUAGUUAAAUAAAUUAUUCGAUCCAUAUUCAUUUUUACUCUAAAAAGUAUGAUUUAAUCCAAACCAUAUUCAUUUUUUUAAAACAAAAAUGGAAUUUGACCCCAUCCAUAUUAAUUUUUAUCACUAAAAAAGUGGUAUUUGACAUUUUUUUUUACAUAAAAAAUGAUUGCAUAUAGGUCACAUGGCGAUCUUUGGCUAAAAAGUAGUCAAAAAUUUAGAUUGCGACCAAAUUUUGCUAACUUGAAUUUGUAAGAGAUGUAAAAUUAAUAUUUUAAAAGUGAAGGAACAAAAAAAUCAUUUAGUGAAAUGUAAGGGACGUAUUGAACGAUUUUUCACAUUAAUUAUUUAUGAUAUAUAUGGUGUCAGAGAUUAAAAAUGACUUGGUAACAUUUAGUCUAACGAUUGAACCAAUAACCUAUGACCCAGUAAGAUUUCCAGCUUUAAAACCUUCUUAAAAACUUGAUUUUCGGAACCACUCAUGGACGAUGGGGUGCAUACUCAAGAGCCCCAUAUAUCAUCAUAAUAAUGUAAUAUUACUUACAUCAUCAUGUGUCACUAAAUGAUAGUGUGCCAAGUUGAGAUAUAGUUUGUGUCAAUUCUCCUUUCAUUUUAGUAUAUUUUGUGUUUUAGUGAUGUCAUAAGAAUUUGGGAUGACAGAGGACUAAAAAGAGUUGCUGAAAAGUCUAUUUGCUAUAAAGUAUGGCGCGUCUUAAAGAGCCUAGGAAAUUGAGAAGUUGUGGGACCUGAGAUUAAUUUCAACAAUUAAAGAGAAUAAUUGAUUGAUUUCUCUGCAGCCUUGAAAACUUUAUUUUUGGAUGGCAACUAGUUAGUAAGGAUAUUAUUAUAUCAUUAUCCACGAAAAUAGAUUAUUCCAGUAUGGAAGAUAAUUCCUUUUAUUGGAAUAAUUUUUAGCAGAUAAUCAUAUAGAUUGUUAGGGUGAGAAUAUCGAUAUUUAAUUCCCAACUCUCUCUACACUUUGUCAUCGUAGUUAGGUGGUUUUUCCUUUUUCUUCUCUCAAGACAAAAACCUAGUUUUCUCCGCUGCAUUUUCUCCAUAAGAAGUGGCUAAAUUUUCUUUCUAGUUAGAGGAUAAUCCAAGACUUGGUUCUACAAACAAUUAUGAUAUCUAAUUGAAGUUUAGUGUUUCAUCUAUUCGUGGGUAUUUUUAUACUUCCUGUAUUACAUGUAUGAUGAUUAUUGUGUGUAAUUAAAUAAGUGGCCAAUAUUUAAUUAUUUACAAUAGUCUGCUACCAAUUGAAGCAAUUAAAUUCGUAAUUGUUUGUCUGUUUUAAUAUUUGUGUAGACUGACAUAAUUGGAUCUAUAUCAGGAAAAAUAUAUGAUAUAAUUUAAAUGAUCUCUCGCAACAUGUUUGUUGAUUAGAAUUAGGCUUUUUUAAUUCUUGAUGCUGUUAAAAAAUUUAAUUCUAUGGUUGUACCUAGAAUUAUCUUUUAGUUAGAGAAGUAGUUAGUGGCCAUACUCUGAUUAUCGAUAAAGUAAGGAAAUAUUGAUUGCCAAAGUUUAAUGAUAAUUAUAACCUAUUUGUUCACUAAUAUUUGAAUUCAUCUUUGCUUUAGUGAUCAAUUGUAGGAACCAAUCCUAAGAUUAUUCCUUUGGCUAGAACUCUAUUAUUAUUGGUUUAUUCUUAGUUAAUUUUCUUUGCAUGUUUAUUUGUGUUUAAAUUAAUUAGUUAGUAUAAUUCUCCAAAAUCCCCCUUUUUAUUCAUUGCUUUGGAAGAAAAUAAAUCAACUCUAUCUUGUGGAGACAAUCCUACUCAUUGCUGCAUACAAAUUCGUAUUUUCUAGAGCAGUUAUUUAUUUUUAAUUAGUUGACACCCUGUCACUGAAUCAACAUGGCUUUUAAGGAAGAAAGAGAAGGAUUUAUCUAUUAGAGGAUGAAUGGCACUUUGUCCGAACCAUGGGGUUCAUCCCAUUUUACCUCUUGAACCAAAACAAUACACACUUCAUUUUCUUUGUGCUAAAUUUUUUUUUAUCUUAUUAAAUCAAUUACAACCAGUGUUACAAUUUCAUACUUAGCUCAUAGGUAUAUGGUUUAGAAUAUUGAUGAUUAAGGAGCAAAUUGAACUUUUUAUAUAUAGUGUUUGUAAAGAGAAAGCCAUUCUUUAUUUAUUGAGUUAUACACUUUACUUUGCAUCUUUGCUUGUGCAUAUGUUGGCUGGCCGAGGAUUGACCAUUUUAUUUUAUAGAUAGAUGAAUUCUGUCUAAAGUAGAGGAUAUAUUGUACCCAAUAGUACGGCAAAGGUUCCUCUUUCAUAACAUCUCUUGUUGCAUUAUCUAUCUGAUUAAUACAUGUUUUCUGUAGUAAUAAAUAAAAAUUCAAGUUUUAAAAUAGGAAUAAUUUCAGAAACUCCUCCUGAGAUUUCUAACUAUUUCACUUAGUUUUCUUGAAGUUUUUAAAAUAACAUUUACCUCCCUUGAUUUGACACUUUGGUAACCAAAUCUUAAAAUAAGCUAAAAAAUUUAAUGAAUACCCUGAAAUGCCCUUAUCUUAUAUAGUUCAAUUCAUUCUUCUAAACAAUUGUAAAGUAAUUUGACAUAAUUAUAUAUAUUAAAAAAGAGUCUCAAAUUUUUCAUGUCAAUAUUUGUUAUUUAAUAAUCAACUGUAACAAUAAAUCUUUACUGUGCUAAGUUAUUUUUUAUAGUGUUUUAUUGGGAAUAUAGAUUCUUUUUAAGAUAGAGAAGAAAGUGUUACCUUGUGUUUUAUAAAUUUAUGGACUAUUGUUUUAGCAAAAGUUUAUGGACUAGUUUAGCGAUGGAACUACCAUAGUUUGGUAGUGAUUUUGGGCCAUUUGUUUUUAAUUAUUGUUGAUUUAUUCUUGAUUUUGAUACAAAAAAAAAAGAGUAACAAAAUAAUUGGAUGAUAUUAAAAGUCAUCAACAAAAUUACUAGUUUAACGUUUGAUCUAGAUAGAUAUUAGCGACAAUAUUGAUAGGUCUUCUAUACUUCUAAUGAAAUAUAAGAGAAAUGAAUAAGAAGGAAAAAGGAAAAAAAUUAUAAAAUCCAUUCUUUGUAUAAACAUGGAAGCAAGAGAGUUUUAUUAAAAUAUUAAAGUUAGUAUUGUCAUUUUAAAUGGGCAAGGGAGUUAGAUAUAAUUUUUGAAACUUUAAGGGAGCCACAUAAAAUUAUCAAAAACCUCAGGGAGGUUUAUGAAAUUAUCCCUUUAAAAUAUUUUUCUUAAUACAACAGUUGCCCUUUAACAAGUUGUAUAAUAUAAAAUAAAAUAGAAAUAGGGUUAAUUGUAAGUUGCACCCCUCAACAAUUUGGCAAUUGGAACUUGCAUUCCAAACUUUAAAUUUAGCAGUCUAUUACCUUCAACUUCUAAUUUUUUGCACAAUUUACAAAUUAAGUUAAAUCUGAUAAAAAAAGAGAGGGUGAUUAUACUUGUUUACCCUCAAAUUUUUACCAAACCUCCAAAAAUACCCUUCCUUUAUUUUCAUCUUCUGAAUAAACUCAAAUUCCUAAACCCUACAAAUAUUCCUCAAAACAAAAUCCCUUUGAAAAAGCAUAAAUUAAUAUCUAAAAAUUCAUCAAACAGAAAUAGAAAUCAAGUCAUAAUCCAUACCCAAAUCUCACAUUAUCAACACCAACCUCUUGAUCAUCCCAUCACCACUAUCAUUAUCCCCCACUAUCACCAUAACUUCUUAAAACUCAUUAAAAAAAAAGUAAUAACAAACAAAGAAAUGAAGGAGAAUAAGAUCUUUGGGAGGCAAGAAAACAAACAAAAAAAAUUCCCAAAUCCAAAUCUCGCCAGAAUAACCUCUUAACUUCUAACGUCUAAGACCCACAAAUUGAUCAGUGUGACUCACAAAUUGAUUACGAGCUCGAGCUCUACAGAUAAACCUAUUUUAUGCAGUGCAUGAUAAGCUGUUAUUUAAUUUCUAAGGUCCUUCUACGCUGACAGUUAGCAAGGUUGGAUUGAUUACGUAAAUUGCCCAAGAAAUCUGACAAAUGGUUGUGUAGAUAAUUAAACCAAGCCUAAUUAUUAAAUUAAAUUACUUAUGUGGCAAGUUUUUUUAUUUGUUGGUUUAGUGAGUGGAAGAAUUUCAAAGUUGAUACAGAAAAGAAAUAUUUCCUAAGGUCCCCGUUAUUAAAGUUCAGCAAGAUAUUUACAUUUAUCAUGUUGGGAGAGAGAUACUCCUAGUCGGUUCAGAAUUGAAAAUUUUUCUGCCAACUGUUAGUUUCCUAUUCCUUUGAGACCCCUGUUUGGCACUUAAGUUUUUUGCCAAGUUUAUCUGCUACAAGUUUUUAAAAAUUUUAACUACAGUAAUCUCAAAAAUUUCUCAAAAUUUUUAAAUUAUACACUUCAAAAUAUUAAAAAAACACACUUCAAAAAUUUUUUUAAAAACUUUUAUAAUAAACUACAGCAAAGUUUUAGACAAAUACCCAAAAAACUCACUUGCCAAACGGGGUCCUAGUCGGUUGGAUACUCUAUACCGUUUCAUUAUUUUCUUGAAGAGAGAGGUAAGUUGUGGAUAUUGAGAGAAAACUUCUAAACUUGUUAUUUGUGAGCAUUAUUGUUGAGUUUAGUUAAUAAAAUUAUUAAGUUAUAUUGUGUAUUUAUUCUCUUUCUCUUUCACAUAUAUUCAUAUAUUUUAAAAUAAUUUUUGCUGAGCAUGAUUUUUUUUUGUGGCAAUAGAUUGGAAUAUGUAAUCAAAUUUGAGGAUGAAUAGGGCCUCAAUCAACCUUCACCCUUCAUUCAUGUUUAUCUUAUACUUGAACAUCCUAGGUUGAACUUUUCUCUAGGCCACAAAAUUGUUUAUGCAAAUUUGAUGAGUAAAAGUUUACAUGUACUUCCUUGGGGGAGCACAAUUUUCGAGUAAAGAUAUUGAAUACGGAUUUGAUGUAUGGAUUUAUCAACAAUCUUUUCUUCUUUUAAUAGUGACGUUGAUUGACACUAACAUUAUUAUUGGACACCCCAAAGGUGACAUUCUUGCCUUGUUUCCAUAGAAUUUUCCAGGCCACCCUAAAUCAUUGUCCUGCCACAGAAUUCUGGGACCAGUCCUUCCUGUGCAUGAAUUGAAGUGGACGCACUAAAAUCACUUAAAAUGGACGGACUAAAACGAAAGUCACUUUAAAGACGCACUACAAUGAAAAGUUACAGUUUGAAUUGUAAGUUUACAGAGUUUGGUUAAAAAAUAUAUUAUGAUAAAGUGAUGCAUGUGAGAUAAAAAAUUGAUUGGUAAAUGUAUCAAAAAAAUAUUUCAAAAUAUCUAAGUGAAAACUGGCAAUCCAAAUAAUGCCAAUCUUGUCGGCUAUAGUAGUAUUUUGUGUGACCAACUUCUCUCUGCAGUUUUCCUGGUUUCAAAUAACACUACUGAGAGCCCAUUGUCAGGUUUGAACAUUUCCAAAUAGAAGCUCUAAAUAAAUCACUCAAAAGGAGUACAAUAGGAAAGCAAAGGAUAGGCUGUGUCCAAAAGACUGAACUUCUUUGGAUUGCAUUUUUCUGAAUUUUUUGUAGAAAAAUUACUAUAGCGAUUUGAUAUAUAUGAGGUAAAAAGAUAAAUGGAAAAUGUGUUUACGGAAAACGUAACAAUUUUGCUUUGGAAAAUUGCUGUCCAAACAAGGCUUAUUUCUUUUUUUUUUGGGUAGGUUAAAUCUGUUCCAAAGCCACAAAAUAUAAGUUACAAUCACUACAAUAAAUCUGAAGUGAAAAUUUUCUUGUAAGGACCCAAAUAAAUUAACUGGUUGUACAUGUUUCGCGAGAUCAAGAAGUUUCACUACAUAGGAUAAGAUUAGGCAUCACAAUCCAGCUGCAGUCUUAUAUGUCUUUUACAUCUUUAAUUUUGACAAUCCACUUGCGAUGGUUACUGAUUUCGCAAUCACUAUCUCAAGAUACCAUCCUAUGAAGCACUUCCUGUUUAUUUCUAUUUGUAACUGAAGAUAAUUCCCAUGGAACUCGCCAGUAAUAAUCCGUCACCAACAGAUGUUUGUGUAAGUGGAAGGGGCUUGCAUCCCUUAAUCAUGAGAUCUCGGGUUCGAAACCAUGGGGAUGGAAUAAAAAACGUUGGGAGAGCUUCCCCCUGCAAAGGAUCCGACGCGGCUCAAACGAGAUUAGUCGCAGACCGUAAAACGGAUGCGAACACCUGUGGGUUAAUACCAAAAAAAAAAAAAAUAAUCCAUCAUGAUCAACUGAAAGAAAACAAAAACACCUACAGAUCAAUUGCAAGUGCAAACACUCCAAUUCAAUCCUAAAUUUUCCUUCCCCUUUCUUCAACCUUUCAAUAUCCAGUUACACCAAAGAAAACAAAACAGUGAACAACACUCCAUGGGGAUGUAUUUAGUUUAGGCAUUUUUCCAUCAUGCUUACAUGCUAUGAUCGUAGGGCAGUUUCCUUUUUCCUUUAAUCAAAUUUGAUGUUGAAUCAAUACAAAAUUCACCACAAUUCAGACUUCCUCAGGUAAACAGAAUAUGUGAUUAAAAAAUUGCAUACGAAUGAUCUAAGGGACAACAAAUUCAAGGAGACUAAUAAUAUGAAAGAUCCAAACAUCCAUAGGUUGCGCAUGUUAAUUCACACAAAUUUCAAGGUAUUAAAAAAAAAAGAAAAUUUGCAAAAGAGGGCUUACUUCGGUGGUGGCACAGUGAACUGCAAGAUUGGGCUACAUGAUGAAAUCUAAUGAAAAAAAUUUGUUCCAAAGACAGUAAAUUUGAUGAUCGAAUGGUUGACGAUGGCUGCUGUAAAGAUGACGAUGGUGAUUUUGCGGGAUUCCUAGUGAGACUUUUUGUAGUUUUUCUAUUUCUUGUGUUAGAUUUUUUUUUGUUUUUUCAAAUUUGAUUUCCAGAUUUGAAAAUUUUUAAAUUUGUCACGUCAGAUUUCACCUUACCAUCCAGGUUUAAAUCAAUUCAUUAGCAUAUUUGGAAAGAAAUAAACCGUACAACUGGAAGCACGCAUAGAUAAUCUUGAUAAUAAAUGUUUUAUCAUUUGAUUUUUGUGAGUUCCACUGCAUAAUAUUCUAUUAAUUUUUCAGAUCUAUAUAUAUUUGUUUGGACAGAAUAUUAUUUGAAAUAAUUAUUGUAGUACUUUUUAUGAUGUGAUGUAUAUGAGAUAAAAAGGUGAUUGGGAAUAUAAAAAGGUGGGUUGGAAAAUGUGUUUAUAAUGCAAGCGAAAUAUUAUUUGAGAUAUUUCUACUGUCCAAACACUAGCCUAAGUAGAUCUGUUUGUAUCCGUAUAUUAUUUAUAUAGUUUCUGCCACUAGUAUAGAUUUAAUAAAAUAAUAACAUUUUUAUCAAAAAAAACAAAAGAAGAAUACAGGAUUAAGCCCGUGCAAAUGUGCCGAAGUUGAGUGCUUGUGUAUUCAUUAGUUAGUGGGCAAGCAAACUGAGCAAAAGGUCAUGGACAAGGUGCUCAAGAAAAAAGUUUGUUCAUUAAAGUAUGAGACUAUCAAUGAACAGGUAUGCUGAAAUGAAAGAGACUUUGAAAACUCAUCUUCACCACAAUUUCAAUGUCAUCCAGCCUGCGAUCCAGCUUAGAUGCUUCGCGUUGAAUGUUUAUUGCAUGUUUAAAAUCCCCAUUUCACCGAAAUCCAAUCUGAUAAUUUCACACUCUCAUUUCUUAAUGAGUUUGAAAUUUGCAUUAAUUAAAGAUUGUUUGUUCGUGUGUCAAUCACUAGUCUUUGUUUUUUUUGCCUUUGGGCCAUGAAGUAAAUUGACAGCGCUAAGUUAAAAAGAAUAUUAAGAAAAGAAUUGUAGAGACAGAAAAAAAAUACAACCUAUUGUUGGCCAAAGUUGAGUUCAUGUAAGUUUCCAUUUUGACAAGUUUUCUAUUAAUAUGAUUUUUCAACAUUUUUAUUCCUUAAACAACUUAAAAUAUUGCCUCUUAUAUUAGUUUUCUUUUUUGAAAUUUAUAGCUGCAAACCAACAUGGCUUUUAAUUGGGAGAAGGAUUUAUCUAUGUGUAAAUCUUAUAUACACUGACAGUAUAUACACUAUCAUCAUUGGAUUCAUCAUAUGUGCAUAAAAAUUAAAUUUUAAAUUCAAAUUUACAUAAUUAUCAUUCAUCCAAUACUAACAGUAUGUAUACUGUCAGUUUUGACAAGUUAAAAAAAAAUAUUAAGAAAAGAAUUGUAGAAACAAAAAAAAAUAUUGCCAUUUUGACAAGUUUUCUAUUAACAUGCUUUUUCAACAUUUUUAUUCCUUAAAUAACUUAAAAUAUUGCCUCUUAAAUUAGUUUUCUUUUUUCAAAUUGAUAGUUGCAAACCAAUGUGGCUUUUAACUGAGAGAAGGAUUUAUCUAAGAGGCGACGAAUGGCACUUUGCCUCUCUGAGCCAUGGAGUUGAUCCCACCAUACCCGCUUCGGACUAUGGGUCGAAUAGUACGGCAAAGAUUCCCUUUUUUUUUAACAAUUUUUGCUGUUAAAAUCUUAUCAUGCUAUCUAUUCGAUUGAUAGGUAUUCCAGUGGCAGAGCCACAUAGGAUUGUGGAGUAGACAAUUGCCUUCCCUCCCCAGCCCCCUCAAUUUUGAUAAAAUUGUACAAUGGCCUUCAAAUUUUUCAAGAUUUUUAAGUUUAUACCAUGUUUGCACCCCUGAAUUUUAUAAAAUUCUCUCUUUCAGUUGUGUUGCCCCAGUCAAAUUUAAGAAAAUUCCCUUCUUUAUAUAUAGGUUAUCUUUUAAAGUUUUAUAUAUUCCUCACUUAUUCUACAUUUACUCCACACACACAAAAAAAAAAAAAAACUUUCUAUUGAUUGCCUCUAACAAAAAUUUAGGAUUUAUUUCAAAUUAAACAAUAAUGGGAAAAAAGAUUUCACUUUUUAAAUCAAAAGCACACUGUAUAUUUAGGAUUAAUCUUUUCUAUACUGACAGUGUAUACAUUAUCAGCGAUGGAUGAAUGGCAAACAUAUAAAUUUUGAAUUUAAAAUUCAACUUUUACACAUAUGUCAUAGAUCCAAUGGUGAUAGUGUAUACACUGUCAAUGUAUAUAAGAUUUACUCGUAUAUUUAUUAUAUAAAUCUAAGAGUAUGAUUUAUACUGAAAUUGCCCAUUGCACCCCUUGUCAUAAGGUUCUGGCUCCACCACUGACAUAUCCGAUGCAAUAAUGACUAAAAAUCCAAAUUUCAGAAUGUAUCCCUUUUUUGUUUUUUUUUUCGGACAGGAUAGAAUGUCUCUCUCGAUGAGUCAUAAAAUUCGGGUAACAUAUAGAAACGCGAAACACAACACCUCAAGGCGCGAAUGGUCCUGACGCUCACUCUUCACACAAACUAUGCAGUUCUAAUAAUAAUAGCUAUCGUUUGGCAUGUAACGCAGUAAAAAGAAUAUUCCUUUCAGAUAAAUGCCCAGCAACUUAAAUGCAAACAGCCGAGUAGGGCUGCAAACGAAUCGAGCCGCUCGCGAGCAGCUCGAGUCAAGCUCGAGUCGAGCUCGAGCCAGCUCGAGUCAAACUCGAGCUCGAACUCGAGCUCAGAAUAUUAAGCUCGUUAGCUCGCGAGCCGGCUCGCGAGCUUGAGUAAAUAUAUAUUUUUUUAUUUUUAUUUUUAUUUAAUAAUAAAAUUACGUAUAUUAUAUAUAUAUAUAUAUUUUAUUUUUUUAUUUUCAUAAUGAAAUUACGUAUAUAUCCUUAAUAUUUUAUUAUUUAUUCAUAAAAAAUAUUAUUUUAUUUAUUUUUUAAAAAAAUAAAAUAAUUUUUUUUUAUUUUUUUUGAGCUCGAGCUCGGCUCGACUUGAUUCGAGUCGAGCUCGAGCUCGAAAAUUGCCAGCUCGUCGAGCUCGAGCUCGAGUUUGGUAAAAUUUAGUCGAGACUCGGCUCGAUUAGCUCAAAACUCGACUCGACUCGGCUCGUUUGCAGCCCUACAGCCGAGUACGAUAAUGAGAAAUGGGUCCCUUUUAAUGCGCAAUAAUGGAUGGGGCAAUUAUUGUACUGACCUAACCUGUCCUUAGGUAUGAAAGUCACUAAUUUCUAAACUCGCGGCUCCAAGUCUCCACGUCGAUACAGAAUGGACAAUUAAAAACAGUACAUCUUUUCUACUCAUCCUCCCAACCAUGCGCCUGUUAUCUUCCCAUAUUUCGUUCUUGGCGUAUCUUUACCUAAUCUGAAUGGGUUUGAAAGAUAUUUUUGGACUCUAUAGCCACCUCAAUUUUUUUUUAUAACCUAAUGCUAAUAAUAUACUUCUUCUGUCUCAUUAAAAUCGCUGUAAUUUUUAUUUUAGAAUGUUCCAAAAUAAUUGUCAUGUAAAAAAAGUCAAAACACCUUUUAAUUUCUCUUUUGAAUAUAGCCUUUCUUUUUAAUUAUAUUCAUGUUACCAUUCAAAUUUAAAAUUUUGAAUUUGUGAGGAUAAUAUUUAAAAAAAAGUACAAAUAUCACAAUCAAAUCACUAUUUUUAAAAGUUAGAUUUGUUAAACAUGACUAAAUAAAUGUGACGAAAAAGUAAACAUACAUCACUUAAUCAAUGCGACUCAACAAUUCAUUACAAGGUCUACAGAUUAAACUUCUGUAUUUUGUAGUGCAUAUGAUAAGCUGUUAAUUAAUUUCCAAGCGCUGUCCUUCAAGGCUGACAAUUAGCAAGGUUGGAUUGAUUAUGUAAUUGCCCAAGAAAGAUGACCAAUGGUUGUGUAGAUAAUUAACCCAAGACUAAUUAUUAAAUUAAAUUAGCUAUGUGGCAACCUUUUUUUUUUUCGUUGGUCUCUAGUGAGUUGAAAAUUUUAGAAGUUGAUGCGGCAAAGAAAUAUUUCCUAAUGUCUGGUUAUUAAAGUUUAGCAAGUUUGCAUUUAUCAUGUUGGGAGAGGGGUACUCCUCGUCGGUUCAGAAUUGCAAUAUAUAUAUAUAUAUAUAUAUAUAACUGUCCAUUGCCGUAUUCCUUUGUGACUAGAGUCCGUUGGAUGCUCUAUAAAUUGAGUAGUACCAUUUCAUUGUUUUCUUGAAGAGAGAGUUAAGUUGUGGAUAACGAGAGAAAGCUUCUAAACUUGUUAUUUGUGAGUAUUAUUGUUGAGUUUAGUUUAUAAAAUUAUUUCAGUUAUAUUGUAUAUUUAUUCUCUUUCUCUUUUCACAUAUUUUUAUAUAUUUUAAAAUAAUAUUCCCUGUCCUUGAUUUUUUUGUGGCAACAGAUUAGAAAAUGUAAAUCAAAAUUGAUAUGAAUAGGUUUAAAUUAGAGGUGUCAAAAUGGGUGAUUUGGACGAGCUUGAAUUGGAUAAAAUGGGUAAUGUGUAUAAGUGAGUCAACCUAUUUAUGUCCAUUUAAUUAGAUGGGUAUAAAUGGAUAAGUCAAAAAAUAAAUUGGGUUACCCAAUUACCCAUUUAUAACCCAUCUAUUUUAACAUUUUGUAAAUUCAUUUGAAUUCAUUUUUGCAAACUAAGUUAUCAAUUUAUACCAUUCUUUGCACCCAUCAUUAGUUUUAAAUAUUUACUUAUAAUGUUUAAUAAGCCUAAUUAUCAAUUUUUUUUCAUCCGUACUCUAUGUCGCAAAAUUACAUAUUAUUUCAUAACUAAACAAUAAGAAUAUAAAAAUUUGAACUAAGUACCAUAAAAAUUAACAUAAAAAUUUAAUCCAAAAAUUUUGAACCCCUAGCAUUUUUUUGUGGGUAAAUUUAAAAUUUUAUUUUGGAAAAAUAAGAAAAGAAGCUAAAACUUGUCAUAAAUUGGUAAUGUUGAAAAAUGAGCAAGUUAAUAAAUUAAAAGAAAAUAAAAUGAUAAGAUAAAACUAAUAAAUAAUAAUAAUAAUGAAACAAAAGUAGUUAACAUCAUGAUAAAAUAAAAAAAAUUUUAAAAAAAAGGGUGGGGGACGAGAGGAGGUUUGGGGGAAAACAAUUUUAAAUGGGUUAAUUGAGUUUGAUGAUUUUAAAUGGUUAAAUGGGUAUUAUUAGAUAACUCAUUUAUACCCAUAUAUAAAAAUUUAAGAUACUCAUAUCUAUUUAUGAACGAAUGUGAAUAAAUUUAAUUAAAUAAAUUUGUUUUACAGUUUUAGUUUAAAUCAACCUUCUCCCUUCACUCAAGUUUAUCUUGUACUUGAACAUCUUAGCCUGAACUUUUCUGUCGGCCACAUCAUAUUUUAUUUGAUGGAUAAGAGUUUACUUGUACUUUCUUGGGGGAGCACAACUUUCGAGUAAAGAUAGUGAAUACGGAUUUGAUGUAUGGAUUUAUCAACAAUAUCUUUUUCUUCUUUUAAUAGUGACGUUGAUUGCCACCAACAUUAUCGCACUUCCGAAUGCGACAUUCUUGUCUUGUUUCCAUUGAAUUUUCCAGUCCUUCCUAAAUUAUUGUCCUUCUACAGAAUUCUGGGACCAGUCCUUCACGUGCAUGAAUUGAAGUGGACGCACUAAAAUCACUUAGAAGGGACGCACUAAAAUGAAAGCUAUUUGGAUUGUAAGUUAUUUGGGAUGGUAAGUUAUUUGGGAUAUUUUUAUUGUAAUAUUUUUUGUGACAUGAUGUAUGUGAGAUAAAAAGUAAUUGAGAAGAUAAAAAAGUGUAUUGAAAAUUGUAAUAAUAAUGUAAGUAAAUAAAAUUGAGGAAAUAAUGCUCAAUCCAAACAAAUCAGUUUGAAUUGUAAGUUCACAGAGUUUUGUUGAAAAAUAUACUAUAGCAAUAUGACAUAUAUAAAGAUAAUAGGAUGUAUAUAAUAAUAAAUAUGACAUAUAUAAGAUAAAAAGGUGAUUAAAAAUAUAUCAAGAAAAUAUUUUAAAGUUUUUCAGUGAAAACUUGCGAUCCAAUUAAGGCUAGUGUCAUCCGCUUAUGACCAGCUUAUCUUUGCAAUUUUCAUGUUUUCAAAUAACGUUGAGAUCCCAUUGUUAGGAACAUUUCCAAACAGGAGCUCCCAAUAAAUCACUGAAAGGGAGUACAAUAGGAAAUCAAAGGAUAAGUAGUAUUCAAAAGACUGAACUUCAAAAGGGAAAAUCUUUCACAAUGUCCCCUAUAUUUUGUCAAAUGAAUUUUUUGUUCUUCAUUUUGAAAAUGUUAGUUUUACGUUCUUUACAAAUUCAAGUUAACAAAAUUUUGUUCGAAUCUAAGUUCUUUUUUACCACCUUUUAGCUUGAAAUCACCAUGUGGCUCACAUGAAAUCAUUUUUUAUAUACAAAAAAGUCAAAUUUCACCUUUUUAGGAUAAAAAUGAACAUGAAUUAAAUCAGAUCCCACUUUUCAAAAGAAAAAUAAAUAUGAUUUAGAUCAGAUCCUACUCUUUGUGUCAAAAUAAUUAUGGAUCCAAUCAUUUGUUUAACUACAAAUGAGAUUUAACCUUUUUGUCCCAAAAAAAUGACCAUAUUUGGGUUAUGUGAUGAAUUCAGGGUAAAAAGUAAUCAAAAACUUAAGUUGAACUAAAUUUUACUAACUUGAUUAUGUAAGAAACGUAAAGUUAUUAUUUUAAAAGUGAAGGAUAAAAAAAUUUUCAUUUAGUGAAAUGUGAGGGACUUUUCAAAUGAUUUUCCCACUUCAAAAUUACUCGAAGGCUUUGCAGCCGAAAUUUACUUUUUUCUUUUUUGGUAGGUUAAAUCUAUCCCGAAGCCACAAAAGGUACGUUACCAUAACUACAAUAAAUCUGAAUUGAAAAUUUACUUGCAAGGACCCAAAUAAAUUAACUGGUUGUACAUAUGAUUGUACGUGGUUCACGUGAUCAAGAUCUAUGAAGUUUCACUAAAUGGAGCACAUAGGAAAAGAUUAGCCAUCACAAACAAACCGGCUGCAGUAUUAUAUAUCUGUACAUAUUUAAUUAUAACAAUCCACUUGCGAUGAUUAUUGAUUUCAUAAUCAUUAUCUUAGGGUACCAUUCUAUGAAAUAUUUCCGGUUAUUUCUAUUUGUAAUUGAAGAUAGUUCCCAUGGAACUCGUCAGUAAUAAUCCGUCAUCAACUGUAAGAAACCAAGAACACCUACAAAUUAAUUGCAAGUGCAAAGACUCAAAUUCAAUCUUAAAUUUUCCUUCCCCUUUCUUCAACCCUUUCAAUAUCUAGCUACACCAAAACAAAAAAAAAAAAUAAAAAAGAAGAAGAAAGAAACAAUGAACAACCAUGAAUUUAGUUUAGGUAUUUUUCCAACAUGCUUACAUGCUAUGGCCAAAUUUGAUAUUGAGUCAAUACAAAUCAUCCAAAAUCAGUCUUCCUCGGGUAAAAAGAAUAUAUGAUUACAAAAUUGCAUACAAAUGACUAAAUAAAUUAAGAAGGGGACAAAUUCAAGAAGCUAAUAAUCUAAAAAAAUCCAAACAUUCAUAGGUUGCACAUAUCAAUCUCACAAAUUUUUAUGAAAAAGAAAUUUUACAAAAGACGGCUUAAUUCAGUGGUGGCAAGGUUAAAAUUUUGCAAGAUUGGGCUCCUUUUUAUGUUUUGGUUUAUACUUUUUAGGAUUGUUAAAAAUUAAAUUUGAUGAAAUAAGGUUGAUGAUAUGAUGAAAUCUGAUGAAACGAAGUUGUUCGAAGGGCAGUAAAAUUGAAGAUCGAAUGGUCGACGAUGGCUGUAGUAAAGAUGAUGUUGGUGAUUUUGUGGGAUUCCUAGUGAGUGUUUUUGUAGUUUUUCUAUUUCUUGUGUGAGAUCUAUUUUUUUUUUUUUAUAUAGAUUUUGUUGUUAGAUUUGAGAUUUCUUAAAUCUAUCUUAUCAGAUCUCAUCUUAGCAUUUAGGCUUGAAUCAGUUCAUUAGCAUAUUUAGGAGAAAGUAAAUGGUAUCGGUGGAAGUAUGCGCCGAUAUCAUUUGAUGUUUUUUGAGUUCCACAAUGUAAUAUGCUUUUGAUUAUUCAGAUCUACAACAUCUAGCAUUUGUUCUUCAAAUCUAUAUCUGUAUAUCAUUGAUGUAAUUCCUCCCACUACUACUACAGAUUCAACAAAAUGAUGAUGUUUUUAUCAAAAAAAAAAAAAAAAAAAAAGACUAGAGAAUUAAGCCCGUCCAAUUGUGCGGGAGUGGGGUGCUUGUGUAUUCAUUAGGUAGCGAGUAAAUUGAGUAAAAGGUUAUGGACAAAAUUGUAGAAAACACAUUGUUAGUUAGGUCACAACACGGCAAAGUUUUUCAUCAAGUGCUCAGGAAAAAGUUGUUCACAGGUUGUGGACAAAUUUGAAGAAGACAAAUUAUUAGAUCAUAACAUGACAAAGUUUUUCAUGAAGUGCUCAAAAAAAAAAAAAAAGUAAUUCAUAAAGUAUGAGACUAUCAAUGGACAGGUAUGCUGAAAUGAAAGAUGCUUUAAAUUGAGUUGACAGCACUAAAGUUAAAAAAAAUAUAAAAGAAGGAAAAAAAGUUGUCACAGGAAAAAAAAUGUAUAGGCCACAGUUGCGUUCAUGUAAGUUUUCAUUUUUGCAAGUUUUCUAUUAGUAUACUUUUCAACAUUUUUAUUCCUUAAACAACUUAAAAUAUUGCCUCUUGAAUGUGUUUUCUCGUUUCAGAUUGAUAGUUUCAAACCCGUCCUGAUUCUUGAUUUUUCAGAAUCACGAGAUUCGUGAACUUUUGCACCAAGUUACCGAAAAUUCAUCUUUGAUACCUAUCUCCACCAGUGACAAUUUCUUCAAAUUCUUUUGAGGUUCAUGCUCUUGCAGAAACUGACAUCUUUUCAAACAUAGCACUGUUAAUGAUGAGUCAGUUGCACCAAGGAUUUUAGGGUCUGGGGUUUAUGCGGUUUGCUAAAUUCUACGAUGGAAAUCCUGAUUACGUUGACAUGUUUUUCUAUUACAGCUUUCUUGAGACACCUGUUUAGAAUCUUCUCAUCCAGUUUGGUCUCAAUCAUCAUCGAUAGAUGCGGCGCCUACCACUUCUGCAGUGCGCUGUUGGCACGUUUCAUGAAGCCCUUUUUGUAAUAUGAUUCAUAUUGAACAAAUGCCAGUCGCUGAAUUUUUUUCUUUCUUUCUUUUUUUUUUGUUUUGUUUGGUAACAAAAUGGACUAUAAAGUUAUAGGUACAAAGUGACAAAUUCCCUUAAUAUCUGCAUCUACUAAAUUUUUUAAAUUAGGAGGGACACUUUCAUAACAUACACAAAUCGUGUCUUGCUGAGCACAUAAUUUCGUCAAUCUAUCUUUAUACUGAUUAAUUUUUCAAUAAGUAUAACUUUCGACAGAACAGAAAUCAGGAACCUACAAUUAGAAAUAAUUGAAACAUACUCAUGAGUUGAGGUAUCAACAGAUUUAAGCAAAUCUAGAGCAAUUUUAGCAUUAACUUCUAAUUCAAUAUUUUGCAAGUUGAGAGAGGAAGCUAAGGAUACCCCAUCCCUUGUUCCCACAACUCAGCAACGAUAUUGGUAAUGGGUCCUAAUUUUUUGCUAAAGGCAGCUACCCAGUGUCCUAGGUGAUUCUAAUCAAGUCACCUAAUCCAGCUGGACCCGAGUUCCCCAUGGAUCGAGGACCCAUCGGUAUUGAUUUUGAAAUAAGAAGGGAAUCUGGUUAGCGAGCACUUCUGUUCUAAGGCGUACUUAGUUCUGAAUAGGUCGUGAAAAGGAGCAUUCGUGGCUGAAUUUUCUUUCCUCGAAGAAGCCGUACGCCUUGAAAUUCUAAUCUAGGGCUGGUUGGAUAAAAUACUCUAGCUUCGACAUAGGGAUGGCAACGGGGCGGGGUUGGGGCGGGGGACCCCUCCCCCAUCCCCCGCCCCGUUGCCUAUUAGUUCCCCCGUCCCCCGCCCCGUCCCCCGCCUCCCGCUCCCCCCGCCCCCGCCCCGCUUCCCCCGCGGGGGCACCUGCGGGGUUAAUAAAAUUUUAUUAUAUAAUUUUAUUAUAAUUAAAAUUUAAUAAAUAAUCAAGUACUAAAAUAUCAACACAUCACCAAAUUAUUAUUCAUUGUAAUUUUACAAUUGAAACUCAUAAAAACAAUCAAACAGAAGUUAUUUGAAUACAAUCCAAUAUGAUGAAAUAAAUAUAACUAAAAUAGUCAAAUUUUCACUUUUAGUACAAAUGCAAUCACUAAUUCAUCAUUGUGUUUGUGCUUUUUUUUGAGAAAAAAGUUUUAUUCUAUUAAGUGUAAUUAGAAAUUUAGUAUAAAUGUAUUAGUAAAUUUAGUAUAACUAAUUAAUAAAUUCUAUUAGUAGACAUGUAUAAUUAUUCAUAUAAUUGAUAAUAUCAAUUAUAUUACAUAAAUUAAUAUACAUUAUAUAAUACAUCUAACUAAUAAUAUCAUUAUCAUAAGUUUAUAACUAAUUAACUUACAUAUAAUAUAUAGUCAUUUAUAUAUUAUUAUUAUUUUGCGGGUGGCGGGGCGGGGGAUGGGGCGGGGGAGUAUACCCCCGCCCCCCGCCCCGUUUCUAAGCGGGGGGAAAAAAUUCCCCCCCGCCCCCGCCCCAACCCCCGUCCCGUGAGCCCCCCGUGGGCAUCCGCCCCAUUGCCAUCCCUACUUCGACAUGGUGUUUCGCAAUCAGGAAAGAAAGUAUGCCAGCUGCCGCCCAAAUCUCGGUUUAUCUCGUUUUUCCGUGCUGAUUUGCACUAGCCUCGUUGAUUGUUUUUGGAACCCUUCCCAAAAAAACCCUAGUUUGACUACGACCUCAUAGUUACCUGUCCGAUAUCCUCACCAGUUGAAAUGAAUCUUUGCAACACAAAUCCCGCUAUUAAAUGGAGGUCUUGGGGACAAAAAAUUUCAUGGUUCAAUUUAAUAAGUUCAACACAAAUUUAUUAAUAGACUAUUUUUCUAGAGUUAAGGAGAUAUUUGAUAACCCCAUUAAGUACGCAAAGUUAUUGCAUUAAGUACUUCUUUCCUGCUACAUUUGUUUGAUAAAAAAUUUGCUUAUAUUUAUGACACAUUUGAUUUAUAUACAAAAUUUUACACGAACGUUAUAUCACUUAAUUUGUUGAACUAGUAUAUGUAUUAAUCAUAUUCACUCAAAAGAAUCAUUGCGCUCACCAAUACACUUUCACACAGUAUACACACACUCUCUCUCGAUCACAUUUUCACACAUCCACACACGUUCUCUCUCGCUAGAAUAUAUAUAUAUAUAUAUAUAUAUAUAUAUAUAUACUAUAUAAUACAUCUAAAUACAAUCUCCCCUUCAAACAUGUAGAAUCUAUAUGCUUUUCUUCUUUCAAACAAACAUUUUACACAAAAAGCACAUGCUCCACGAGUCACACACAUACACAAAAACACACCUUUCAUAUUAGCAUAGAGCUUAUUAGUAUCAAAAAAAUAAUAUUUAAAAAUUAAUCUAACAUAAAACACACCUUUCAUAUUUAGGAUUAAACUACAAAAUACAUAUGGAAUAAAUAUUUCAAUUCAAUGCUUGCAUUAAAUUGACUAUCAAAUAGAUGUGACUUCAUGGAUAUAAGCAAAUUAAGAACUCAGGAAUUAGUUUUCAAUCUUUAUAUUUCAGAAAUCAAUUUUCAGUUUUAUCAAAUGCCGUCUAGGCCAUUGAAUUCUAUAAUAUUUUAUGGUUUCUUUUGACUGAUUCCCAGAAUAAUUCUUUUGAUUAAUUCUACUAAGUCUCUAUCGUGUUCACAAUUCCACCUCAUCUUCUUUUUUUGGGUACAAUCAAAACACAGGAUUCUAAAUUUUAUGAGAUUUUAUGUUGCACUCCUUCAUUUCCUUUUAAUGGUGAAAGAAGAAAUAUUGAACAAAUUGUUGAUCUCUUCCUCAUGGCCAAAAAUUAGGAGCAACACUCCAUUUCUUUUACUUCCCAAACUAGUCCAACUUUCCAAGCUGGAAUGUGCAAGAUACUAAACAAAUUAAGAAGAUUAGGAAAGAUACUACGAAUCACAGAUUCCACAAUGUAGAGUUGUGCAACGUAGGAACUUGACUAAAAAUCAAAGAGUUUGCUCCAAAUUAAAAAUUUUUGAAAGGAGAAAGCAAGAUCUAUAAUAAUGGAUGAUCAUAUAUGAUAUAUCAAAGUUACUGGAAGAGUGAAAUUAAGGAGAGGAUCAAUUACUAAAAUAUGGCCUACUUUAGAGCUAAAUUUAGAUUUUCAUUUGUUACCAAUAAUUUUUACUAUAACUUUAAGCUUUUUUUUUUGGAGCAAAAGAAAAGAAAAAUGUGUUGGUGAUUGUAGUGGUUAAGGUUUAGGCCAUUGAUCUAAGUUGUAACUCAAUCUAAUUAACCAAUAGGAGCAGUUUGUGCCCCUAGUAGAAACUAUUUCUAUUUCCACCUCUCUGUUCUGGAGCUUUCUUUAGAUUACAGAUAUCCCUAGGCUGGAUGGAGGAGCUGCAUCUGUUGUUAUCCUUAGGCUGGAUGGACUAGAUGGAGGAGCUGCCUCCGUUGUGUCAUCAUAGCCCAUCAAAACUCUAGUCCUAUUUAGCGAGUUUUUUGCUAAGUUUUUCAUUUGUAAGUUUUUUUAACAGUUUUAACUACAAUAACAUGAAAAAAAAACUGUUCAAGAACUUUUCAACAUACACAUUUUAAAAUACCUAAAAACACACACAAAAUUUUUUUCCUUCUUUCUUUUCUUCUUCUUCUUCCUCCUUCCCACAUCUCAACCCACCAUCACCAACACUGCUAGCUGGCACUUUGGCGGCGCCUUUGGCAACCUCCUCCCUUUUUUCCCCUCUUCUCUCCUCUUCCCCUUUUUUGCUUCCUCCUUCCUUCCUUUCCUCAUCUCCUCUACCCCUUUUCUUCUUCCUCCUCCCUCCUUAUCCCACUCGCCCCUUCCGGUCCUCCAUCUCCCAAAGGGAGGGAGUAGGAAGGAGGAAAGAAGGAGAAGAGAGGAGGAAAGGGAGGGAGGAGAAGGGGAGAAAGAGAGUAAGAAAAAAAAAUAUGUCUACCAGCAUCGUUGUCGAUUGCCGACAAAGGUACCAGCAAUGGUGGCUAGUAGUGGGAAGAAGGGGGAGUGAGGAGGAAGAGCAAUGGUAGGGUGGGAGAAAAACAAGAGGAGAGGAAAAAGAAAAGAUAAAAAAAAAAGGAAAAAAGUUUUACCAUCCAAACAAGUUUUUUUUUUUUUACAAAUUUUACGAUAACUUAUAGUAAAAUUUUGGACAAACACCCAAAAAAUUCAAUUGCCAAAUAGGACCUCUAUUUGAUACAACGUGAGAAGGAUUAAUGCUCUAUGGUCUCAAUCUCGAAUAUUAACUAAGUAUUCCAGUAGGACAAGUACGGUUGGUAUUAGGUGUGGUUGGCACGAUUAUUGUACUUUUUUGUAAUUUGAUAUACACUCAUAUAACUUUAUUAUUUAUCGUGAAAUAUAAUAAAAAUUAUGUUAGUAUACACCAAAUCAUAAAAUACAGCGAAAUUAUGUGAAUAUAAAUCAAAUCAUGAAAAGGGUAUAACAACUGUAUCAAUUGCACCUGUAGCUGUAGUUGAUCGUACCUGUCCCAUUCCUGUAUUUUAGAGUCUCUAAACUUUGCUGUAAAUAUUUCUUCUUAUUCUCAUAUUGUGAAACUAGGGGUGAACCCAAGCAAGGUGCGGGAGUGAGUACUUGUCGUGAAAUCUUGUAAAAAGUAAAAUUGUAGUUGUGUUGUUCUCAACUUUUUUUUAGAGAAAUUGGAAAUGUAUAAUAUGGUAACUUGUUGUAAUUUAUCAUUGUAUACAUAUUCUACAGCUUUAUCUUUAUUAAUAGAAUUUCUCAAUAAUCUCUCUUGUUUUUUCCUUUUCUUUGAGAGAUUACAAUCCAUAAUUGCUUGGUAAUAAAGACAUUAAAAUUUUACCAAAAAAUAAUUAAAUUGUACUACAAUAAAGCCAACACAAAUUAUAAUCUCUUCCUUGAUUUCUCUACCAGCUGAAUCUUCUUCAUCUUGAAAAAGAAAAACAAGUGGAGAAUGACACUAUUAGGAAAAUCUAAAAACUAAUAAGGCCAAAGAGCUAGAUAAUAAGUACUAUUCUUACCAAUGCUUUUGCAAAUCAAACACUAACAUCUUCAUUUUUAGCAUCAUCAUCAUUAAAUUCCAAGGCUUUCCCUUAUUCUACUUCUACAGCUUUGUCCAAAUAAACUUGUCAAAGCAUUUGAAAUAUCAAAAUCAUUUGAAAUUGAAAAACUAUUUCCAUAUAAUAAACAAUAAAUUCAAGUAUAUCAAAAGUGCACUUAGUUCUUCAAUUUUAGACUUUUAUUUCUAGCCACCCUCUUUGGCAAUUUGAAUAAUUGGAUCAUCAAGUUAUCAUGUCAUAAAAAAGCAAAUAAAAAAAUGUGCUUUUCAAGCUUAAAACACAAUAAUAAGUACCUGGGGGUGUUCAUACCAUCCAUAAACACUUAUGAAGAGGAUUUGCCUCCAUGAAUGAUUUUCUGAAACCCUUCCUAUGUAUACCAUUGCUUUUCGCGCCACGUUUUUGGUCUGUUUUCUAUUUAAGAGUAAUAUAAGAGUAAAAUUUAGUAAUUUUUAUUCAAAAUAAAGUUCAAAUAACAUAAUUAACUACCAACUUAUACAUAUAAAUACACUAUAAUUUAUGCCCUAUCAACAACUCCAGUAGGCCGAAGGGAAAGAUCAUUUUGAAAACACUCAGAUUCUGCAUAUCCUACUUGUUCACAAUAUGGACAAAUAGAAUGCCAAUUUUCGUACUCAACAUGUUGCCAAAAGCCAUAAUCAUCGUCUCCCAUCCAUAUUUGUUUUAUUGGCAUGUUAGAAACAUCCAACUCAAACACACUCGGGCGGCUGAAGGCCGUUUCAAUUCUGAUGUUGCUGAAGAAUUUGGGCCAACUUGUGUUACUAGUCACUUGAAAAAAGAAACAACAAAAAAAGCUAGACACGUAAGGAAAGAAGCUCGCAAAAAAGAAUUUGUAAAGUUGGUUUCUUUUUGAAAUGUUAUUAUUAACGCAAUUUGUGUAACUCUACUUUUCUCCUUCCCUCUUUUUCUUUAAGAACCUGUAGAGAAACAAAGCCAUGCAUGAAACCAAUUCAAAUUAUAAAGUUUCGUUUUGGCCACUUUGUCCUUAUAAUUUUUAAUGUGAAACUAUGAACUGAAUUUUACACCAAUCUUAAGUUUUGACCAUCAUUGUUUUCAUUAUUAAUAAAAAAAAAAGCAUUAUUCAUAACUUUCCAGGGUAAUUGUGCUGCUCAGUCAAUUCACAUUAAAGUCCGCAAGUGAUGGAAGUUUAGUUUUACAUAUAAUAUAAACAUUGAGUGGAAGCAAACAGAACCAUAAAUAUUCUCAACAGUAGAGAUGUGCCGAAACAUAAAAGGUUCUUGUAUGAAUACAUUGAUUUUGGAGAACAUAUAUCUCUAAUGAUAUUGACUUUGAUCUGGUACUUUUUGCAUGUUCUUUUCUUCUUUAAUACCUUUUUUUCCUGAAGAAUAAGAGGAAACUAGAACUAAUGAUAUCGUUCGUGCUAAAUUAUAAUCAAGAACAAACACGAAUUGACAAUCAAACUCUGGGGAUUGAUAACCCAUGUUAUAUUUAUUCACGUUAUCUCUGGCUUAGACAGCCAUGAUUACAUUUAUUUCAUCUCUCAUAUGACAACGAGAGGAACUUAUUUAGUCACAUAAGACUUUAUCUUUAUGUCGCAAUUGCUUGGGGACUUUAGCAUGGACUUGCGAUCGCAAGCCAGCGUUUCAGGGUUAACAUAAGGCCUGAUUGCCUGACUGUAAUUCUCGUCAUAGAAUGCGUUCCAAAGCAUGACGCCUCCAUAGUUGGGAUAGCCCCGGACAUAGGGAAGAAUUUCGCGAAUAAGCACCUGAGGUGGAAUGUAACCGCCACUAGGAGCGGCUUCAGGGGAUGCAGGUAAUCCCAGGAAUAGUUUAUUAACUCCUGGGUAUGAAGCCCAAUGAGAACUCCAACUGUAGAAGAGGUUGUUGGCAUUGCCCAUACUAUACUGACAAGGCGGAUUGUUGUAAAAUUGCACCCACACAUAAUCAAAGAGGCCAGUUCUGAUAGCAGCGUCGAGAUAAUAGUCAGGAUAGAAACAUUGUGGUGCUGCAGAUAAGUGCACCCUCCUCUCUGAUGUGCUAUAUUCUGAGAGCGCCUUGGCGAGAUCAUCCAAGAAAUCCCUCUUUCCACCUUGGAUAUGAAAGUCUAUACCGUCUAAGACAGCAUCGCCUAAUGGACGAUUUUCUGAUUCACCGCCAAGGAAAUUAUUAUAGAGAUAGGACGCGACUUCCUUGGCAUCAUCGGCGGAAGAGAGGUUUGGAGCUCCACCGAGAGAAAGAAGCACUUGGGUGCCUCGGCUCUGGCAAGCUUUUAUCUCAGAACUAAGGGAGGAGCAAUCGCUUGGCUCACAAUGCCCAGCUAAGUUCAAUUCUGGUGUCUGGCCACCGCCAAAAUUUAUCAGAAAGGCAAGAUUCACGUAGUCGUAG